Molecule: unclassified non-coding RNA, 21 nt
Filed under: Chlamydomonas reinhardtii
Lineage: Eukaryota; Viridiplantae; Chlorophyta; Chlorophyceae; Chlamydomonadales; Chlamydomonadaceae
Description: small RNA Cre_0151
Source: RNAcentral
AAGUUUACUUGCCUAGGCAGU